GUGAGGAAUUUUCCGCAAUGGGCGAAAGCCUGACGGAGCAAUGCCGCGUGAAGGAUGAAGGCCUAUGGGUUGUAAACUUCUUUUCUUAGAGAAGAAUAUUGACGGUAUCUGAGGAAUAAGCAUCGGCUAACUCUGUGCCAGCAGCCGCGGUAAGACAGAGGAUGCAAGCGUUAUCCGGAAUGAUUGGGCGUAAAGCGUCUGUAGGUGGCUUCAAAAGUCUCCUGUCAAAGGUCAGGGCUUAACCCUGGGCCGGCCGGAGAAACUCUGAGGCUAGAGUUUGGUAGGGGCAGAGGGAAUUCCCGGUGGAGCGGUGAAAUGCGUAGAGAUCGGGAGGAACACCAAAGGCGAAAGCACUCUGCUGGGCCACAACUGACACUGAGAGACGAAAGCGAGGGGAGCAAAAGGGAUUAGAAACCCCAGUAGUCC
RNAcentral lists this ribosomal RNA (426 nucleotides) under uncultured bacterium. Its description in RNAcentral is "partial 16S ribosomal RNA". It matches the Rfam family "Bacterial small subunit ribosomal RNA", at positions 354 to 796 of the family's 1533-position model. The record is from RNAcentral.